GCCGCCGUUGAUCAGGACGACCAGCGGCUUGCCCUUGGUCAUGUCGCCGCCAUGCGCGGUGAAGCGCUGGGUCUCCUCCGGCAGGCGGCC
RNAcentral lists this transfer RNA (90 nucleotides) under Bradyrhizobium ivorense. RNAcentral describes it as "Bradyrhizobium sp. CI-1B tRNA-Ala". The record is from RNAcentral. Lineage: Bacteria; Pseudomonadati; Pseudomonadota; Alphaproteobacteria; Hyphomicrobiales; Nitrobacteraceae.